UGUCAUGGAGUAGCUCUCUUAGA
This 23-nucleotide microRNA is filed under the name Strongyloides ratti. RNAcentral describes it as "str-miR-47-3p". Its record names the gene str-miR-47-3p. The record is from miRBase by way of RNAcentral. Lineage: Eukaryota; Metazoa; Nematoda; Chromadorea; Rhabditida; Strongyloididae.